RNAcentral lists this ribosomal RNA (253 nucleotides) under uncultured bacterium. RNAcentral describes it as "partial 16S ribosomal RNA". It matches the Rfam family "Bacterial small subunit ribosomal RNA", at positions 524 to 776 of the family's 1533-position model. The record is from RNAcentral.
UACGUAGGCAGCAAGCGUUGUUCGGAGUUACUGGGCGUAAAGGGUGCGUAGGCGGCUUUUUAAGUUUGGUGUGAAAUCUCCCGGCUUAACUGGGAGGGUGCAGCGGAAACUAGAGUGCUAGAGGGUGGGAGAGGUAAGCGGAAUUCCUGGUGUAGCGGUGAAAUGCGUAGAUAUCGGAAGGAACGCCCGUGGCGAAAGCGAGGUCCUGGACGCUUACUGACGCUGAGACGCGAAAGCCAGGGGAGCGAACGGG